GGCCGAGCUGAGGGGCAAGGGCGAGCCCAUGCAGCACGCACAGCGCGCUCGCACUUCUACCUCCCGGUUAAAAAAUACAAGUUACCCAAACUAAAUACCAGGCUCCAGCCACGAACGAGGGUGAUUUCCCCCAAAAUUAUUCUAGUUCCGUCCCGGUGAUCUUAUCCCUCCCCUCCUUCUCCUAUGAUUUUUGGCUUGCAGCAUCUGAACUGUUUGUACACUGACAGACACCAGAUGCACAUUACAGACCUGCCGUGUCAACCAGCACAGGUCAUCCAAAGGUUUCUAGACUACACCUUCCUGAAGAGGCCCCGAGAGUAAGUUUUAUGCCCUCUCUGCUCAGAAAAGCUUCCCUUCAAAGAAAAUUCUGUGAAAGCAGCAAACUCAAAACAGUUCAAAACCAGGAACUUUAUCACUUCAACUGAAAGAUGGACAACUUUCAGAUGCCACUGAUUCCUUUUUGGUCCAGACAGCAUUGCCUACACUCAUCUGGGGAAACAAACAAAAAGGAUAUUAAAAAAGGAACUCCAGGAAAAUAACAAUGCACCCUAACUGAUCUGAAACCACUUUGUCUGUUCUGCAGAAGUGCAUUUAAAUAGCAUCACAACAAGAAUUUAAGUAGA
Molecule: non-coding RNA, 623 nt
Organism: Cyanistes caeruleus (blue tit)
Lineage: Eukaryota; Metazoa; Chordata; Aves; Passeriformes; Paridae
Source: RefSeq, a predicted model, not a curated record